AGUGAACGCUGGCGGUAGGCCUAACACAUGCAAGUCGGACGGCAGCACAGUAAGAGCUUGCUCUUACGGGUGGCGAGUGGCGGACGGGUGAGGAAUACAUCGGAAUCUACUUUUUCGUGGGGGAUAACGUAGGGAAACUUACGCUAAUACCGCAUACGACCUACGGGUGAAAGCAGGGGAUCUUCGGUCCUUGCGCGAUUGAAUGAGCCGAUGUCGGAUUAGCUAGUUGGCGGGGUAAAGGCCCACCAAGGCGACGAUCCGUAGCUGGUCUGAGAGGAUGAUCAGCCACACUGGAACUGAGACACGGUCCAGACUCCUACGGGAGGCAGCAGUGGGGAAUAUUGGACAAUGGGCGCAAGCCUGAUCCAGCCAUACCGCGUGGGUGAAGAAGGCCUUCGGGUUGUAAAGCCCUUUUGUUGGGAAAGAAAAGCAGCAGGUUAAUACCCCGCUGUUCUGACGGUACCCAAAGAAUAAGCACCGGCUAACUUCGUG
This 492-nucleotide ribosomal RNA is filed under the name uncultured bacterium. Its description in RNAcentral is "partial 16S ribosomal RNA". It matches the Rfam family "Bacterial small subunit ribosomal RNA", at positions 29 to 507 of the family's 1533-position model. The record is from RNAcentral.